Molecule: ribosomal RNA, 303 nt
Filed under: Triticum aestivum (bread wheat)
Lineage: Eukaryota; Viridiplantae; Streptophyta; Magnoliopsida; Poales; Poaceae
Description: partial small subunit ribosomal RNA
Source: RNAcentral
AUGGCCAUGGUGGAGGAGGCCAUUGGUUCACUCAAGGCGCACGAGCAGCUCAUCAAGGGGUGGGAGAUGGCACGUGAAGAAGAGCAGCUCCUAAUGGCGAGAGGGCAUGACUCAUCGCGAGGACGCGGUCGUGGUGGCCGUGGACAUGGCCGUGGUGGAGGGCGCAGAGACAAGAGCGAGGUACAGUGCUAUAACUGUGAUGACUUUGGACAUUUUGCUUGGGAGUGUCCAGAGAAGAAGAAGGAGAACGAGGAGAAGGGACUGCUGGCCGGCUAUGGCAGCGAUGGACCGGCUCUUCUUUGA